UACGGAGGAUGCAAGCGUUAUCCGGAUUCAUUGGGUUUAAAGGGUGCGUAGGCGGACUAUUAAGUCAGUGGUGAAAGCCUGCGGCUUAACUGCAGAACUGCCAUUGAUACUGAUAGUCUUGAGUUUGGUUAAGGUAGGCGGAAUGUGUAAUGUAGCGGUGAAAUGCUUAGAUAUUACACAGAACACCAAUUGCGUAGGCAGCUUACUGAGCCGACACUGACGCUGAGGCACGAAAGCGUGGGGAUCGAACAGGAUUA
Molecule: ribosomal RNA, 257 nt
Filed under: uncultured prokaryote
Description: partial 16S ribosomal RNA
Rfam family: Bacterial small subunit ribosomal RNA
Source: RNAcentral